UAACUGUUAAGAAAGUGAUUAUAGACCCACAUAUUCAUAUUCAUCCACUCAAUACAUAUUUAUUGAGGGAAGACAGUGUGCCAGACACCUUUGAGAGUUCUUAAGGGUUGGAAGAAAUCCAUAAUGGAUUUCCUCCCAUAUACAACUCUGAUCCACUGGCAUUAGCUGCCGGGAGGGGCUGUGUUGAGGGGGAUUCAGAGGCCUUCUCAGAAGUGAAGUCUAUGACUAGCAAUGCCCUAGAAGAGAAGGCAUCCUCUGCUG
RNAcentral lists this long non-coding RNA (261 nucleotides) under Homo sapiens (human). RNAcentral describes it as "non-protein coding lnc-SCAF4-4:1". Lineage: Eukaryota; Metazoa; Chordata; Mammalia; Primates; Hominidae. The record is from RNAcentral.